RNAcentral lists this transfer RNA (69 nucleotides) under Heterocephalus glaber (naked mole-rat). It matches the Rfam family "tRNA". From Rfam's summary of the family: Transfer RNA (tRNA) molecules are approximately 80 nucleotides in length. The record is from Rfam by way of RNAcentral. Lineage: Eukaryota; Metazoa; Chordata; Mammalia; Rodentia; Bathyergidae.
GCUGGAGCUUUGUGGUAGAGCUCUUGCCUCUCAGGCGUGAGGCCCUGGGUUCAAUCCCCAGCACCAGCC